This 480-nucleotide ribosomal RNA is filed under the name uncultured bacterium. RNAcentral describes it as "bacterial SSU rRNA". It matches the Rfam family "Bacterial small subunit ribosomal RNA", at positions 28 to 507 of the family's 1533-position model. The record is from RNAcentral.
GAUGAACGCUGGCGGCGUGUUUAACACAUGCAAGUCGAGCGAGAAUCCUGCAGAACAACUCUUCGGAUGAGUUCAGCAGGAGGAAAGCGGCGGACGGGUGAGUAACGCGUAGACAACCUGCCCUUUGCAGAGGGAUAGCCUCGGGAAACCGGGAUUAAAACCUCAUAAAGCCAAAUGGUGACAUCAUCAAAUGGCCAAAGAUUUAUCGGCAAGGGAUGGACCUGCGUCUGAUUAGUUAGUUGGUGGGGUAACGGCCUACCAAGGCGACGAUCAGUAGCCGACCUGAGAGGGUGAUCGGCCACAUUGGAACUGAGACACGGUCCAAACUCCUACGGGAGGCAGCAGUGGAGAAUCUUGCACAAUGGGCGAAAGCCUGAUGCAGCAACGCCGCGUGAAGGAUGAAGGCCCUUGGGUCGUAAACUUCUGUUCUAAGGGAAGAUAAUGACGGUACCUUAGGAGCAAGUCCCGGCUAACUACGUG